GCGGUGCGGCUUUCCAUGAAAGGAUACGCAGCAACGAGGAAAGUCUGGACAUCAAAGAACGGCUAGCUUCUUAACGCGAAGGUACCCGUGAGGGUAGGGAUUCCGCAGAAGAAAAGAACCGCCCGGCGUGCUGUUAGGCAGGGCUGGGUAAGGGUGAGAAGGCGAGGUAAGAGCUCACCGGUUGGCUGGCGACAGCUUUCGCAGUGCGGACCCUAGCGAUGCAAGGCCAUGUAGACCUCGAUAGCUCUCGGGAAGAGCUCUCCGGCUGUUCGUUGGAGUUUGCCUUGGGCAGAGUCGGGGAGGGUAGGUUGCUUGAGGCUACGGGUGACCGUAGCCCUAGAGAAAUGACGUCAGGCCACGCAAGGUUCGCCACUUUCACGGUGGCGAUGGUGCGAGGUUACAGAAUCCGGCUUAUAUGGUAUCUC
RNAcentral lists this RNase P RNA (425 nucleotides) under human oral metagenome. RNAcentral describes it as "Bacterial RNase P class A". It matches the Rfam family "Bacterial RNase P class A". Rfam says of the family: Ribonuclease P (RNase P) is a ubiquitous endoribonuclease, found in archaea, bacteria and eukarya as well as chloroplasts and mitochondria. The record is from RNAcentral.